This 253-nucleotide ribosomal RNA is filed under the name uncultured bacterium. RNAcentral's name for it is "partial 16S ribosomal RNA". It matches the Rfam family "Bacterial small subunit ribosomal RNA", at positions 524 to 776 of the family's 1533-position model. The record is from RNAcentral.
UACGAAGGGGGCUAGCGUUGCUCGGAAUUACUGGGCGUAAAGGGCGCGUAGGCGGUACUUCAAGUCAGGCGUGAAAGCCCCGGGCUCAACCUGGGAACCGCGCUUGAGACUGGAGAACUAGAGUUCGGGAGAGGAUGGUGGAAUUCCCAGUGUAGAGGUGAAAUUCGUAGAUAUUGGGAAGAACACCAGUGGCGAAGGCGGCUCACUGGUCCGAUACUGACGCUGAGGUGCGAAAGCGUGGGGAGCAAACAGG